Molecule: long non-coding RNA, 914 nt
Filed under: Mus caroli (Ryukyu mouse)
Lineage: Eukaryota; Metazoa; Chordata; Mammalia; Rodentia; Muridae
Description: lncRNA (MGP_CAROLIEiJ_G0003751.1)
Source: RNAcentral
GGCUGCUCAUUUAUUGACCAGCCCAGUGUAUGGCCGGCAAGUUUCUCCUCAGACUCGGUUUCCACCCCCUAUCUGGUAAAAUAUAGAGGAUUUUUAUAACUAUGGACACCUCUUCUAGACUAAACCACAUGUAGAGAACCAUUGCACAAACUGGGUGGAAGCAGGAAAGGGGCUGUCUGAGGAGAGGGGGGCUGUGAGGCUUUAUAUCUCAGCUCUGUUAGUCAUUUAUCAUCCCUCAUCAUCAUCGUGUUUGAGACAUGGUCUCAGUCCAGUCCAGACAGACCUCCAUUUGACUACUCUCAUGAAUGCCUAAGGCCCAGCAUACACCACCACCUUCCAGGCUCUCGUUCUGUAAGAGAUAAAGAAUGACGUGUGGUGAGACACGCCUGCCAUCCCUCACCGGAUAGAUGGAGGCUAGAGGCUCACAGGCAAAGGUCAUCUGUGGUUGCAGAUGUCUGGCUCAGCAGGAUUCUCUCAGAUGUUCUCAAAGGUUCUUCAGACUAGGAAGAAGAUAAAGCUGAAACCAGAAGAAAGAGUUGCUAAUAGCCCAUGGAUGGACCAAUCCUUUAACCCCAGAGGCUUCUGGGAGUGGAGAGCUGGGCAAAAUAAAGCAAAUAAUAAAAUACAGGAGGGCCCCUGGCCCAGGGCGGUGGAGGUGAUGGGAGUUGGAGUCACUUGCCUGUCAGGACCUAUAUCAACAUGUCAGCCACUUGGACAAACAAGCGUUGCGAGGGGAAAUAUUUCAGAUAAACAGACACGAUGUUAUGACAUAUCACCCCCCCGCCCCCAACCCUGGAAAAGGGGGUCGGUCAGAGACCAAGGAGAAGAAGAAAGGAAGCAACGCCAUGCGGAGAUCUGUUUUCCCUGGCUUGAGGCCCCGGAGGGUCAGCUGUAAAUAAAAUAGGUUUUUCAUU